AGAGUUUGAUCAUGGCUCGAGGAUGAACGCUGGCGGCGUGCUUAACACAUGCAAGUCGAACGAGGAAUGAGAUGAAGUUUUCGGAUGGAUUCUUAUUCCGAGUGGCGGACGGGUGAGUAACGCGUGGGUAACCUGCCCUGUACAGGGGGAUAACAGUUGGAAACGACUGUUAAUACCGCAUAAGACCACAGUGCCACAUGGCACAGGGGUAAAAACUCCGGUGGUACAGGAUGGACCCGCGUCCAAUUAGAUAGUUGGUGAGGUAACGGCCCACCAAGUCGACGAUUGGUAGCCGAUCUGAGAGGACGAACGGCCACAUUGGGACUGAGACACGGCCCAAACUCC
Molecule: ribosomal RNA, 345 nt
Filed under: uncultured Moryella sp.
Lineage: Bacteria; Bacillati; Bacillota; Clostridia; Lachnospirales; Lachnospiraceae
Description: bacterial SSU rRNA
Rfam family: Bacterial small subunit ribosomal RNA
Source: RNAcentral